RNAcentral lists this ribosomal RNA (103 nucleotides) under Bacillus subtilis. RNAcentral describes it as "partial 23S ribosomal RNA". It matches the Rfam family "Bacterial large subunit ribosomal RNA", at positions 1 to 103 of the family's 2925-position model. The record is from RNAcentral. Lineage: Bacteria; Bacillati; Bacillota; Bacilli; Caryophanales; Bacillaceae.
AGUUAAGAUACUAAGAGCAUACGGGGGAUGCCUUGGCGAUAUCUGCCGAAGAAGGACGUGACAAGCUGCGAAAAGCUGCGGAGAGAUGCAAAUAAUCUUAGAC